Schizosaccharomyces pombe (fission yeast) is the source of this 451-nucleotide non-coding RNA. The record is from the annotation of a GenBank genome assembly. NCBI's taxonomy places the organism in Eukaryota, Fungi, Ascomycota, Schizosaccharomycetes, Schizosaccharomycetales, Schizosaccharomycetaceae.
UUUAACAAGAUCCAGGUAUGAUAAAGCAUCUGUGACAUUCAACUGUCGGUACUCUUGAGGAGGUGGAGGUGGAGCAGAAGGAUUUUGAUUAGGAACAAAAGGAGAAGCAGAAGAUUUUACAGUGCCUGGUCUAGGAAUAUUAGAAUCAGUAGAAGAAAGUAUGGUCGGUUGUUGCUCAAUGGCGCGAGCGGGACUUGCUGAGAUCACAGUAACAUUAGGGUGCGACUGGGGUUGUGGUGGGGGAGGAAGCUGCGAAGGCGGCCCACCAUAAACAGCAGCAUACCCAUUUGCAGGAUUCGGUAUGGCUGUAUGAGACACUUGUGUAUUUACAUUACGGUAAAGUAAACGCCCCGUUGCCGGAUCGUAUACUGGACUGAUAGAGUUGAAUAAAGGGAAUGGAGGUGGUCCUUGUGGGUUGGUGUGAGGAGGGGCCUGAGUAAAUAAAGGUGCU